This 438-nucleotide long non-coding RNA is filed under the name Lupinus angustifolius (narrow-leaved blue lupine). Its description in RNAcentral is "long non-coding RNA (LANG_LNC000313)". Lineage: Eukaryota; Viridiplantae; Streptophyta; Magnoliopsida; Fabales; Fabaceae. The record is from RNAcentral.
UCAACAUGGGCACAUGAUUCCCAACUAGAAAACAUAAAUUUUUCAAGAGAUUUGUCGCGACACCUAUAUGUGAAGACUAUCAUACUAAAUAACCUGCUCAAAUGCAUAUUACUAUUUAAACCAGCAAACAAAACUUGCAUAUUUCAUAUUCAAAUAAAAGGGUGCUCAAUGUUCUAACCACAGAAUAAAAAAAGGAAAACAUAGACAGAAAAAUGAAAAAUCACAUAGCAAAUGACCUAAGGUUGUCAAUGAAGGCAUGAAUAUUCAUCAAGAGAUAUUACCAUUGUUCAAAAGAAUGAAAAGAGGUUCAACCAUGCAAAGAAACAUUUCAGGCAUUUUGUCAAACACUCUACAUGUAAUCUAUAGAUAAACUAAAGCAAGGAAACUUACAUAUCAUCUAUUAAUCUCAAACCUCUUUGAAUUCAAGCAGUAAAAAAG